UACGAAGGGGGCUAGCGUUGCUCGGAAUCACUGGGCGUAAAGGGUGCGUAGGCGGAAUGAUAAGUCAGUGGUGAAAUCCUGCAGCUUAACUGCAGAACUGCCAUUGAUACUGUCAAUCUUGAGUACAUUUGAUGUGGGCGGAAUGUGUCAUGUAGCGGUGAAAUGCUUAGAUAUGACACAGAACACCGAUUGCGAAGGCAGCUCACAAAACUGUAACUGACGCUGAGGCACGAAAGCGUGGGUAUCAAACAGG
RNAcentral lists this ribosomal RNA (253 nucleotides) under uncultured bacterium. RNAcentral's name for it is "partial 16S ribosomal RNA". It matches the Rfam family "Bacterial small subunit ribosomal RNA", at positions 524 to 776 of the family's 1533-position model. The record is from RNAcentral.